GAGUUUGAUUUUUCAGUCGACUGACCAGGCUCGCAUCUGGGUUGGUUGGUCGAAAUCUGUUGAAUUUCUGGAUGACGAAGGGUGUACACCGAAAAGGAAAAAAUUGGACGAACCGAACCGGACCGUACAACGAUAGAACCGGACAGUGCCUGCCGUCCGCUUUUGGCAGACAAAAGGCCGAGGAACAAGCGGCGCGGCUAGCUUGCUCAGCCAUCGAGUCAGCUUCUCUCCUCUCUCUCUUUCUCUCUAUAAAUGACAACGCUUCCCAGGUUAGUGACCCCCCCGCUUGGCCGCUCCGGUGUUCCGUGUUGUGUUCUGUAAUGUUUGUGCACACAAAAUCUCAACUGAAGUGUGGGUUAUUUGGAACUUCACACUCCUGCAGAAAGAAAAAUCUCUUCUUUAGCAAUAAUAUAUGCCACUUAUCUCAUGUACCUGCUGCAGUUGACUCCAGUGUUCUCAAAGUACUAAGAAGUUGUAAUAUUAAGAUGUCGUCUCCAGUGAUUGACAAGGCAGGAACUGAUGAAAUUUUCAAGAAUGGCAUGCAAGAUUCUUAUAUUUCAUCAUCAUAUGAAGCUGCCAUGGAAGCACUCUCCUCCCUCAUUACACGUCAAAAUCGCAAAGACCGAUCACCUGUUGGCGGGAAGUAUGAAAAAUUGGAAAGGAUGUCAAUCUAUCUCGAGAUACUAGGUUUAGAGGAGAGGAUAAGUGAGCUGAAAAUCAUUCACGUUGCUGGAACAAAAGGGAAGGGUUCCACUUGCACAUUUUGUGAGGCUAUAUUGCGGGAGUGUGGCUUUCGAACUGGACUUUUCACUUCCCCCCAUCUAAUUGAAGUGAGAGAAAGGAUUCGUUUAAAUGGGUUGGACAUAUCCGUGGACAAGUUCCUGCUUCACUUUUGGGAUUGUUGGAAUCUACUAAAGGAAAGAGUUUCAGACGACCUGCCAAUGCCUCCCCUCUUUCAAUUCCUUACUUUAUUGGCAUUUAAAGUAUUUAUAUCCGAGGAGGUAGAUGUUGCUAUUAUUGAAGUUGGUCUUGGAGGUAAAAGGGAUUCUACCAAUGUGAUAAAAGCACCUGUUGUCUGUGGCAUUACUUCUCUAGGAAUGGAUCACAUGGAAACAUUAGGACACACCCUUGGAGAGAUCGCCUCACACAAGGCAGGGAUUUUCAAGCCUGGAGUACCUGCUUUCACUGCACCUCAACUCUCCGAGGCUAUGGAUGUUCUUCAGGAAACAGCUUCCAAUUUGAUGAUUCCCUUGGAUAUAGCUGUGCCUCUUGACCAUAAAAGGUGGGAGGGACUAAAACUCGGCCUCUCCGGUGACCAUCAGUUCGUUAAUGCUGGGCUUGCUGUUUCACUGUGUAAAUGUUGGCUACAGAAAACCGGAAAUUGGGCUGAUCUAAUUGGAAAGAAAGAGGAUGGCAAGACAGAUGAACUCUACAUCCCAGAAACAUUCCUGAGAGGUCUUUCAACGGCUCGUCUUUCUGGGAGAGCUCAGGUUGUCCAUGAUGCACCUGUAAUGCUUGAUGGCUCAAUGAAUUCGUCGAGAAAUAUUAUGGCAAAGUUAGUGUUUUACUUGGAUGGAGCUCAUAGUCCCGAAAGCAUGGAGGCUUGUGCCAAAUGGUUCUCUAGUGCCACAAAAGGAAGCAAAACAUCAGCGUACUUGACGUCACCUUCUUCCGUUGAGGUUAAACAUAUGAAGUUGGUCGGUCGAAAUGGUUUCAUCCCACAAGAAACGGAUUCCGGCUCUAACAUGGUAUCGAAGCAGAUUCUUUUGUUCAACUGCAUGGAAGUUAGAGACCCACAUAUUUUGCUCCCACGACUUGUGAACACAUGUGCUUCAUCAGGGACGCAUUUCUCGAAGGCUUUAUUUGUCCCCAACAUGUCAACCUAUAACAAAGUUACCUCCGGGGUCACGAUUCCUUCAAAUGUAUCUUCCAAGGACUUGAAAUGGCAGUUCAGUCUCCAACGAAUAUGGGAGAAGAUUAUCCAUGGGAAAGGUUUCUCCCACUUCUCCAUUCUAUCCACCGAAUCCCAUGUUCGAGAAAAGUUAUGAGGUGGAUGAUUUGGAGUUAUUGCCACCCCGUGAUUUUCUUUAUGAAGAUACAACGCACUGCGUUCCCGACAAACAUUUUUCCUGCAGUGCGGUUAUGCCUUCAUUACCAUUGACAAUAAAGUGGUUAAGAGAUUGUGUUAAGGAAAAUCCUUCUCUCCGUCUUCAGGUUCUCGUUACCGGCUCGUUACAUCUUGUGGGAGAUGUUUUAAAGCUACUGAGGAGAUGAUAGGAGAGCAACGUAUUCCUCAGAGGAGAAUCCAGAGUAUCAUUCUUUCACAAAUUCAUCAGUUUGUCAUUCUUCAAUAAUUGUUUCAUCUCAGCGGAAUAUAAACUAUUACAGCUUAAGGUCUGCUGCUCCAAAACCGGGGCAGGUUCAUAGAUUGCCUCAUCAUUUGAACAAGAUUAAAAUGGUGAGUAAUGUAACAAGAGUAUUCUUUAUCAGACAAUUCUCCAACUGAUUGAUCGUAAGAAAAGGAUGUUGGACCAUUACUCAAGUAAAUCCUAGCUUCAAUAUGAAAGUCCACACUAUUGACAUCA
This is a non-coding RNA of Punica granatum (pomegranate), 2585 nucleotides long. The record is from RefSeq and is a predicted model, not a curated record. NCBI's taxonomy places the organism in Eukaryota, Viridiplantae, Streptophyta, Magnoliopsida, Myrtales, Lythraceae.